CCUACGGGAGGCAGCAGUGGGGAAUCUUUCACAAUGGGCGAAAGCCUGAUGGAGCAACGCCGCGUGCAGGAUGAAGGCCUUCGGGUUGUAAACUGCUUUUAUAAGCGAGAAAUAUGAUGGUAACUUAUGAAUAAGGAUCGGCUAACUACGUGCCAGCAGCCGCGGUCAUACGUAGGAUCCGAGCAUUAUCCGGAGUGACUGGGUGUAAAGAGUUGCGUAGGUGGCAUAAUAAGUAGCUAGUGAAAUCUGGUGGCUCAACCAUUCAGACUAUUAGCUAAACUGUUAAGCUCGAGACCGUUAGGGGUAACUGGAAUUUCUAGUGUAGGAGUGAAAUCCGUAGAUAUUAGAAGGAACACCAAUAGCGUAGGCAGGUUGCUGGGACGGUUCUGACACUAAGGCACGAAAGCGUAGGGAGCAAACGGGAUUAGAUACCCCUGUAGUC
This 442-nucleotide ribosomal RNA is filed under the name uncultured bacterium. Its description in RNAcentral is "partial 16S ribosomal RNA". It matches the Rfam family "Bacterial small subunit ribosomal RNA", at positions 338 to 795 of the family's 1533-position model. The record is from RNAcentral.